Molecule: ribosomal RNA, 495 nt
Filed under: uncultured bacterium
Lineage: Bacteria
Description: partial 16S ribosomal RNA
Rfam family: Bacterial small subunit ribosomal RNA
Source: RNAcentral
GACGAACGCUGGCGGCGUGCCUAAUACAUGCAAGUAGAACGCUGAAGGAGGAGCUUGCUUCUCCGGAUGAGUUGCGAACGGGUGAGUAACGCGUAGGUAACCUGCCUGGUAGCGGGGGAUAACUAUUGGAAACGAUAGCUAAUACCGCAUAACAGUAGAUGUUGCAUGACAUUUGCUUAAAAGGUGCAAUUGCAUCACUACCAGAUGGACCUGCGUUGUAUUAGCUAGUUGGUGAGGUAACGGCUCACCAAGGCGACGAUACAUAGCCGACCUGAGAGGGGGGUCGGCCACACUGGGACUGGGACACGGCCCAGACUCCUACGGGGAGCAGCAGUAGGGGAUCUUCGGCAAUGGACGGAAGUCUGACCGAGCAACGCCGCGUGAGUGAAGAAGGGUUUCGGAUCGUAAAGCUCUGUUGUAAGAGAAGAACGAGUGUGAGAGUGGAAAGUUCACACUGUGACGGUAUCUUACCAGAAAGGGACGGCUAACUACGUG